AAGGAUCAUCAUUGAAUCUAUAUUUACAAACCUUUGUGAACUGUAUGUAUUAGAGUGUGCUUGGCAGGAAGAACGCUGGCAUUUGCCGGUGGACGUGUCUUUAGCUUGUGCUUGCACUGGCUAGAGUGCCUGCCAACACGCUCGCCUUUUAACAAACUUUAUUAAAUAUUGACUGAUAAAAUAUUAUUAAUUAAAACAACUUUCAACAAUGGAUCUCUUGGCUCUC
Molecule: unclassified non-coding RNA, 226 nt
Filed under: uncultured fungus
Lineage: Eukaryota; Fungi
Description: partial contains 18S rRNA, ITS1, 5.8S rRNA, ITS2 and 28S rRNA
Source: RNAcentral